CCUACGGGUGGCAGCAGUAAGGAAUAUUGGACAAUGGGCGGAAGCCUGAUCCAGCCAUGCCGCGUGAAGGAUGAAGGCGCUCUGCGUUGUAAACUUCUUUUGGACGGGAACAAUAACUUCGAUGCGUCGGAGCUUGAGGGUACCGUCAGAAUAAGCACCGGCUAACUCCGUGCCAGCAGCCGCGGUAAUACGGAGGGUGCAAGCGUUAUCCGGAAUCACUGGGUUUAAAGGGUGCGUAGGCGGUCUGAUAAGUCAGUCGUGAAAUCGCUGGGCUUAACCUUUGCAACUGCGAUUGAUACUGUUAGACUUGAAUAAGAUUGAGGCAGGCGGAAUGUGGCAUGUAGCGGUGAAAUGCUUAGAUAUGCCAUAGAACACCAAUUGCGAAGGCAGCCUGCUGGGCCUUUAUUGACGCUGAGGCACGAAAGCGUGGGGAGCAAACAGGAUUAGAUACCCUUGUAGUC
This 461-nucleotide ribosomal RNA is filed under the name uncultured bacterium. Its description in RNAcentral is "bacterial SSU rRNA". It matches the Rfam family "Bacterial small subunit ribosomal RNA", at positions 338 to 795 of the family's 1533-position model. The record is from RNAcentral.